AUUGAACGCUGGCGGAAUGCUUUACACAUGCAAGUCGAGCGGCAGCGCGGGGGCAACCCUGGCGGCGAGCGGCGAACGGGUGAGUAACAUAUCGGAACGUACCCAGUCGUGGGGGAUAACUAUCCGAAAGGAUAGCUAAUACCGCAUACGACCUGAGGGUGAAAGCGGGGGACCGUAAGGCCUCGCGCGAUUGGAGCGGCCGAUAUCGGAUUAGCUAGUUGGUGAGGUAAAGGCUCACCAAGGCGACGAUCCGUAGCUGGUCUGAGAGGACGACCAGCCACACUGGAACUGAGACACGGUCCAGACUCCUACGGGAGGCAGCAGUGGGGAAUUUUGGACAAUGGGGGCAACCCUGAUCCAGCCAUUCCGCGUGAGUGAA
RNAcentral lists this ribosomal RNA (379 nucleotides) under uncultured bacterium. Its description in RNAcentral is "bacterial SSU rRNA". It matches the Rfam family "Bacterial small subunit ribosomal RNA", at positions 29 to 409 of the family's 1533-position model. The record is from RNAcentral.